This 256-nucleotide ribosomal RNA is filed under the name uncultured bacterium. RNAcentral's name for it is "partial 16S ribosomal RNA". It matches the Rfam family "Bacterial small subunit ribosomal RNA", at positions 98 to 354 of the family's 1533-position model. The record is from RNAcentral.
CGGGACGGGUGAGUAACGCGUGGAUAACCUGCCUUACACUGGGGGAUAACACUUAGAAAUAGGUGCUAAUACCGCAUAAGCGCACAGAGCCGCAUGGCUCAGUGUGAAAAACUCCGGUGGUGUAAGAUGGAUCCGCGUCUGAUUAGCUGGUUGGCGGGGUAGAAGCCCACCAAGGCGACGAUCGGUAGCCGGCCUGAGAGGGUGAACGGCCACAUUGGGACUGAGACACGGCCCAAACUCCUACGGGAGGCAGCAG